Dipodomys ordii (Ord's kangaroo rat) is the source of this 58-nucleotide non-coding RNA. The record is from Rfam. NCBI's taxonomy places the organism in Eukaryota, Metazoa, Chordata, Mammalia, Rodentia, Heteromyidae.
UGGCUCAGUGGCAGAGCGCUUGCCUUGCAUGCAUGAGGCCCUGGGUUCAAUUCCUCAG